This 228-nucleotide ribosomal RNA is filed under the name uncultured Lactobacillus sp. RNAcentral describes it as "partial 16S ribosomal RNA". It matches the Rfam family "Bacterial small subunit ribosomal RNA", at positions 134 to 355 of the family's 1533-position model. The record is from RNAcentral. Lineage: Bacteria; Bacillati; Bacillota; Bacilli; Lactobacillales; Lactobacillaceae.
GAGAUCGGGAUAACACCUGGAAACAGAUGCUAAUACCGGAUAACAACAGAUGAUGCCUAUCAACUGUUUAAAAGAUGGUUCUGCUAUCACUCUUGGAUGGACCUGCGGUGCAUUAGCUAGUUGGUAGGGUAACGGCCUACCAAGGCGAUGAUGCAUAGCCGAGUUGAGAGACCGAUCGGCCACAUUGGGACUGAGACACGGCCCAAACUCCUACGGGAGGCAGCAGCA